UUUUAUUCAAUUAGAGCAAAA
Molecule: non-coding RNA, 21 nt
Filed under: Caenorhabditis elegans
Lineage: Eukaryota; Metazoa; Nematoda; Chromadorea; Rhabditida; Rhabditidae
Source: RNAcentral